GGGAAGGCCGCGGCGUGCUGAGGGGCCGGUCUGCGGCUCCGCACCGCAGCAAACGCGGAGCCCGGCUGCGAGCACACGGACAGGCUUCAGGCUGUGACCAGGCUGCCUCUACUGGGGAGACCUCGGUUCGGCGGGAGGGCGGCCGGGCGGAAGCAGCCACCGAGCAGUGGGGCCUCCCGGGCUGCCGCGGACCCACGCCGCCAGGGACGGGGAGAAGCUUUGCUGAGGGGAGUGGGAGGUCAUCGAUCUCGGCUGCCUGAGACAUCCCCGGCGUCCCCGCGCGAGCUGUGGGUCGCUAAUCCGUGGGUGCCCUUGACCCUGUCGCCAGUGUUGAGCUGUCCCCCGGGUGAGCGCAGGGAUGCGGGCCCGCUGCAGGUGAGGCACGGCACCGAAGAGCAGGAAGGCGCCGGGCUGACAUGGAAGCUGGGUGUGUGGUCUGGAGCAACGGAGGGUGUCGGCGCACCCGGCCACAAUGGAGGGCUAGAUUUAGUCACUUCCAUAGGCCCGAAAAUAUCCGCACCAGAUGGCUGACGAAGUGGGACGAGCCCUGGUUCCCUCAUAACUAACCUGGGGCUUGUGUCCCACCUAACUUGGUAAUGAAGGCCAGAGUCAGGCCAGUUGAAAAAGCAAAAAGGAUGAAGAAGGAGCAGGUGAGGUGGCCACUGAAACGAGGAAAGGCCAGGACUUGGAGCCAGUGCUGUGAUCAACAUGGCAAAGUCCCUGACAGGAAAAAGGAAGCUGGUUUUGGCGGAUCAGUGCUGGUGGAGAGACAAAGGUCCUAGCGCAGUCACGUCAGCUGUCAGAAGCUGUCUGAGGAUCUGGGCUCUUCUGAGGUGAUACGUAAUUUCCAGCCGAUCCUGAAAUCAUGUUUUAGCUUGCUUGUGAUAGAUGUUAGGGAAGUGGAGUGCAUUGUGCCAUUUGCCGUGAUGCAGAGCAAUAUGGUGGUCGGUGCCUUGGAGCCACGUGGUAAACCGGAGCAAGGUUCUGCCCACCCCCUUGGAAAGCCAUUUGGUGAACAGACAGCAAGUGUUGGCUCCGUGGGUUGGGCUGACGAGAGGCAGCGGCUGCAGCUGGUGUGUACUGCCUGUAAGUUAAGCAAAUUAUGAAGUCCAAGGAGUGUCAAAUACUUGAUCCAGUAUACACUUCUGAGGAUAGAAAGGUGAAAGCAAUCUUCUGGGUGGUAACCCAUAGGCUGAAGCAGGGUUUUGUGUGAUUCUAGAUAAAUCAGUUUUUAAUUUGUCACUAUAGAAGAAGAAGAGUAAUGCUUUUGCUCCUCCCAGGCUGGUGUGAGGCUUAGGACUGUAAUAUACUUGUGUUACAGUGAGAUGGCUUUAUGUACACAGCUAAAAUGGUUUGGUUCUUAUCAUCUCUGCAUAGAAUUGGAUUUAAAAUAAACUGACAUAGCGAUAGGACUUGGAGGAAUGUUAGGCACUGCAUGUACUAUGUGAAGGAUGUAAAAGGAGAAACAAAGGGUGCCAAUGCUACAAAUGCGUGUGAUACAGGCAGAAAAUGAGAAGGAAGACCAGGAUGAGUUAUUAGACAAAAGGAGUACUAAGAGGACAAGGUCAUGAAAGCCCAAAGGAUGAGAUUUCAAGGUGAAUGUGAUCAGCAAGCUCCAAGGAUGCAUUAAAAAAACAAACACACACACACACACACAAAAAAUUAACUGGAAAAGCUGGGAACUAAAACCCAAUAAAGUUGCAGUUUAGUAAUUUCUCUGUUUAUUGCUCUUGGAGGAAAAUACAGCAGUAGAAGCAGAAGGAGGUGAGUUAAAAACAAGUUUUAAGCCCAGAGCAUGAAGUGGACAGAUUUUUAAUCUAAAUUUAAUGAGAGUUGUUCUUUAACUAUAGGUAGAUGAGGUAUGUCAGAAAUAGCUAGGCAUCUCUCCAACUUGCUUUAAACUGAUACAAAUGCAACUGAAUUCCUUGGACUUUCAGCAUUGUUAAACUGGGCUAAAUGAGAAGAGAGUUAUUUUCACAAACUUCAGAAAUGCAAACAAUAACUUCCUGCCACAAAGAAACUGAAGAGUUAAAGACUUUUCGAUGCAUAUUCCUUCAGCAAACAUAGCGGAGAUGAAGGUCACAGACUUGAAAUUCAAUAAUCCAGCUAUGGAACAAAUAAGAAAAGCACCAAGAAACUGUUACCCGGAGCUCAAGAACUGUCCCUGAAGCCAUAAAGAUGUAUCCAUUAGAAGACUGGACAUUUUAUCUCUGGGUGAAGUAUGAGCAAAAUGAUCCUAGACUAUCCUAGCCGGCUUCAAUUGAAUUGUCUACUGCUGCAAUCUCAAAGGCCAGAGUGGAAAGAGUUUUCUUCAUGUAAACAGGUGUAAAGGAAAAGAGCAGUCACUCCGAUGUUGGUGUAAUCCCUCUGAGCAGCUUCACAGAAACCUUAAGGCUGCACUGAAGAGGAGCACACAUAGCUGACAUGUGUACAGUGGUUUUCAGAAUACUUUCUUAAUACUUUGACAAUUACUGAAAUACAUGGUUCAUAAAUUGGUCUGGCUGCGUGCUGUGUUGGUGUGAGAAUGUCUGAGAAAGAAGGGAGAGGCCAGAACUUGUUUCCAGGUGGUUUAUUGACUGUUAAACUCUUCCAGCCAGAUAAAAGCAGCAGCAAAUAACCUGAUCCAUGUGUUACAACACUGCACAGUCUCACCUUCUCCCUCCCUGCAUCGUAUUUCCUAUCUAGGUCACUGCAUUGUGAGGCUGUUGGUUUAACAGAUAAUGCUUCCACAUGUUGACCCAGACGCCGUGAAGACAAGCACAUUUUCAGGCUAUUCAUGCAAAUUACCAGUGUCCUGAGCCUGCUCCUGGCACGUACUUUACCUUCCUCCUUGCUGGUUUGGUGCUUGGUAUGGUUUGCCCAGCCUUAUGGCUGGAAUGGGCUAUACCAACAGCUUUGUAGAUAAAGUCAUCUUGCCAUCAGCCUGUCAAACAUAAAUUCCAUCACUACCUUGCAACUGCUAUAUAAUUAAAUGUUCUCCUGCUAGGCAUACUCUGGUUUAAUGGGUUUUAUGAGUCAUGGCAGCAAAAGGAAAGGAGAGUCCCCCAAAACAAGAAUGGGCACAAACACCCCCUUGAUAAUCAUCAUAUUUAGACAGACUAAGGUUCUUGCUUGUCCAGAGAACUGAACACUAGGUCUCCUCAGAUCCCUUGUCAGAGUAUCACACACUGAUGCUCACUAAGGUACCUGGAGAAAGCGAUUUUGCAGUUUGGAAUUACUUGAAGUAGUACAGACACUUGCAAGGAAGUGGUUUGCUUUGAGUCUGUGGCAUAUUAGUUUGACAGUGUUUGAGAAGGAAGGAAGAGGUGAGAACUUGCAAAUUCUGUGCGCUCAUAAGCUCAACCCCAAAUGCAUCUACCCCACAGGAUGUGUAUGACAUGAAUGAAGAGAGCAUGGCCCUCUCCUUUAGAUUGCCAAGGUCCAGUCAAGAUCCCAUAGUUUAAAGCGGCACCGAAACAAUCUCUUCCUAGCUGCAAGCAAUUAGGUGCAUGAAAAUCACUGGUGCAAGAAGGCAGCUCAGUGGCUUGGAGUUCCUCUGACCAGACUCACCCUCUUGGUGUGGCUUGUGCCGAACACAACAAGCUAUGGAAAGUAAAUGUCAGCUGCAUUAGCUUCUAGGCCAUAUCACCACAAAGGUGUGUAAGCCAAUCUUUAAAUUCCAGGUCUGUCAUCUGAAGAGAUUACAGCUCACCCAGCACUCAGGCACACACACUCCCUGCCAGCUUUCCUUGACCUAUUUACAAGCAAUGAACUAGAUACAGGCAGACCUUGUGCUUCAACUGCUUGAGUUAGUGCUGCUCACUUUGACUCAAGAGGGCCAAGGGAAGCAUGUACAAGCAGUUUUGCUGACAAACCUGGGAGGGUGGUCAUGGUUAGCAGGUAAUGAGCCAGGGAGGGGUAGACUGGGACAUAAACCCUUCUACUACAGCUGGAAGACGACUUGGGUCUCCAGCCUGGUUGUGGCCAUAUGGAACAGAAUACAGGCUAUGACUGCUGAAGCAGGACUUUGAGAAAGGCUGUUCCUUCCCUUCUUCUCCCCAUGCCAUCCUAGGGGGUGUUGCAGCUGCCCCAGCAGCCUGUCUGCUCCUCCUGUGGCUGCCCUUCUCUCUCAGGACUGAGCACUAUGUCUUCAUGCAGAGGCUGUCCAAACCAUGCUGAGCUGACUCGUGUCCCAUGCUGGCAGCAGCACACAGCACAAACGACAGGGCUCUGUGCAGUCCCUCAGAUGGGACAAGGAUCGGCCUCUGCUGCAGCCCCUCUGCUGUACCGUUAACUUAAGCUGUGCAUCUAUCUGGGUCCCAUUGCAAAUACCAAAUUAAACCGUUAAUACCCCUGAGCAGGGAUGGAGGGUUAAAUCAGAUGAAAGAUUAGAGUACCUGAGCAGGAUAUAUGCUUAACUAAGGGCCCUGAGUCUAAAACUGAGAUCCCAAAUCCCCCCAGUCAGCUGGCUACACCCUGUUGGUCCUUGGCACCUGCCUGCUCAAGACCAGGACCCCAGCCUCAUGUGGUGGGCAUCCUAACCCACCAGCAGGAGAAGAGUGGCAUGUGAAGUACUGUGCAAACCUGAGGCAGGUGCCUGACCUGCAGAAAGCUGUGGGAUUCACACACAGCCUGCUCCUCCUGACACAGCCAGUCCUCAGGCAUUUUUUGAGGUAGCCACCAAAGUAUCUGCUUGAGGUGCUGUCAGAAGAGCAAUGCCUGUGCAAGCAAGAAACAGUCCAUACAUGAGAAGCAUGGGAGUUCUGGCAUACAGCACCUUCAGUUUGUACAUUCAGGAAAACUGAAAAAAAAAACCCAAAACCAGUAAAUAAAACUGUCUGGUUGUUCUGGCUCAGGUGACUGGACACUGAGACUAGGUAGUGUGAGUUAGUAUACAUUAAUUUCCAUUUCUUUAUCUUUUAUAAGCUGUGAAGUUCAUGCUCAUAUGACUUCCUCAAUCUUCACAGGCUUCAGCUCUGAUCUCUUUUUAAGCCUUGAUAUAUCCAUUCUAUUUUUAGUCUUGCAGACUAUUUUUGGAUAAUAUCUACAUGCUGUAGUCUUUUUUUAGCUAGCCUGACAGCCAAAAUUGUGCCAGACUCUCCUUCUUUCAUACCUUGAUUGCUGCAACAUCCUUUCUCUGGUUGUGAGAUGCAUACACGUUUGUCCUGCUGUUAUUUAUUCCCAGGGCUGCUGCAAAACUUGUUCUCUUUGCUUGCUGUUUUGUCAGCCCUUUCCACUGACCUUAUCUCAGCAGAAGUACUCAAUUUAUACAAGCCCAUUUAUAUUGUGGGUGAUGUAUUUACUCUAUAUGUGCAGAUGGACUUAUCUGCACACGCACAGAGAGUGAAGUAAUUUUGCUGCGCCCCAGGUUACUGCAGGAAGGAGUGCAGCCAGAGGUGUCCUGCUGCUGGGACACCACCAAGUGCAACAUGCCCCUCGGGGCUCGCUGUGGAUGAGCUGCAGGCCAUUGAAUCACUGUCAGCGGCUGUUUAUUUCCAUCAUCACUUUUUCUGAUGUCCCAAGGCCCCAUUGCUGUCGCAUCAAGGAUAUGAGCCACUCCCAUGAUGGGCAAUAGCACAAGGAGCCCUGCGGAAAGGUGAAUGCAAGAUGCCAGAAUAGCCCUGCCAUCCCAGAGCAAAUUCCUCCUGCCCACAGCCUAAUUGCUGUGAGCUCCAAGUUGCCUCAAGAAACUGGUUGACAAAGAGAGGAUCUAGCCAAAGGACCUGAUUUUCAUUAGUAUAAUCUGUGAUGGGCCACUCAGAAGCAA
This is a long non-coding RNA of Pezoporus flaviventris, 5746 nucleotides long. RefSeq lists it as uncharacterized. The transcript has 3 exons. Lineage: Eukaryota; Metazoa; Chordata; Aves; Psittaciformes; Psittacidae. The record is from RefSeq and is a predicted model, not a curated record.